RNAcentral lists this unclassified non-coding RNA (223 nucleotides) under Hevea brasiliensis (rubber tree). Lineage: Eukaryota; Viridiplantae; Streptophyta; Magnoliopsida; Malpighiales; Euphorbiaceae. The record is from RNAcentral.
CAAUGUUCUACUCUCCUGCAGGCACAACCAAACAAAAAAAUCCAGAUUCUACUACGUGGAUAGGAUCUACAUCCCAAAAAGAAUGGAAGAGGAGAAGAUUAUCAUCAAAUGGAUAUGAGGACACCAAUCUUGCAGAUCAGUUGAUCAAACUUUUGGAGCGGAACAGCAACAUGCUAAGUGCUGAAUUAGAAGCUCAGAACAUAAAUUAUGAAUUGGAUAGGAG